RNAcentral lists this ribosomal RNA (253 nucleotides) under uncultured bacterium. Its description in RNAcentral is "partial 16S ribosomal RNA". It matches the Rfam family "Bacterial small subunit ribosomal RNA", at positions 524 to 776 of the family's 1533-position model. The record is from RNAcentral.
UACAGAGGGUUCGAGCGUUAAUCGGAAUUACUGGGCUUAAAGCGCGCGUAGGCGGCUCUACAAGUGCCCGGUGAAAUCUCCCGGCUCAACCGUGGGGCUGCAGGGCAAACUGCAGGGCUUGAGGUAGGUAGGGGCGUGCGGAACUCUGGGUGGAGCGGUGAAAUGCGUAGAUAUCCGGAGGAACGCCGGAGGCGAAAGCGGGACGCUGGGCCGAUACUGACGCUGAGGCGCGAAAGCGUGGGGAGCAAACAGG